CAUGGGUGAAGAGAAGCAAAGAGCAUUUUCACCCUCAGCCCCAAAACUCGGCCGCACGCAACAGAGAAAGCAAGAAAAGUAAAAGUGAAAAAAAAAAAAAAGGGAAAAGCAUUCAGGAGAUCAGAUGUGUGUGUAGCAGAAAAAGAGAGAGCAGAGUAGCAAGCGUAGACUGGAAGACCAGAGGCGCACAUGAAGAGCUAGAAGCAAAGAGCAGAAGGAAAAGAUACGAAGGCAGAGCCAAAGCUUUGACCACACAGCAAAAAAAAUGCAGAAGAAUGCCAGAAGUAGAGAAGACUGGAUGAGAGGAAGGAAACAUGUGCAGAAAAGAGCAGAGCAAACUUUCGAUUACACGCAUUUGAAUCUCACACACAAGGCAGGAACAGAGCGGCAAAUUUAGGAUAUCAAGAGGAGGAAGAGGCACUGCUCAGAUUUCCUAAUCUGCUUGCUUUUGGAAUGUUUUACAGUUGAUUUCAGUUUUUCAUUUCCAAACAAAUGUUAUGUUUAAAUAUCUCUAAACUUUGAUCAGUGUUGGGGACCAUUAAAAAUUUCUAAACAAGAGGUUGACAUAUGCCUGUUUGAUCGUUUA
Molecule: long non-coding RNA, 586 nt
Organism: Prosopis cineraria
Lineage: Eukaryota; Viridiplantae; Streptophyta; Magnoliopsida; Fabales; Fabaceae
Exons: 2
Source: RefSeq, a predicted model, not a curated record